GUCGCUUUGUCCGAGUGGUUAAGGAGAUGGCCUGCUAAGCCAUUGGGCUCUGCCCGCGUGAGUUCGAAUCUCAUAGGCGACG
Absidia glauca is the source of this 82-nucleotide non-coding RNA. Lineage: Eukaryota; Fungi; Mucoromycota; Mucoromycetes; Mucorales; Cunninghamellaceae. The record is from Rfam.